This is a non-coding RNA of Pteropus alecto (black flying fox), 119 nucleotides long. The record is from Rfam. Lineage: Eukaryota; Metazoa; Chordata; Mammalia; Chiroptera; Pteropodidae.
GUCUACGACCAUGCUACCCUGAACAACCCCGAUUCCGACUGAUCUCGUAAGCUAAGCAGGGUCAGGCCCGGUUAGUACUUAGAUGGGAGACCACCUAGGAAGACCAGGUGCUGUAGGUG